GUUUUAAUUCUAGCCACAAUAUAAACCAACAACUCCUAAUAAAUUACCAAAUAAAUCAUUUUAUAAUGGAAGUAUAGGCGAAAGAAACCAUCACUUGAGCAAUAAAAACAGUACUGCAAAGGAA
This 124-nucleotide ribosomal RNA is filed under the name Lyciasalamandra atifi. RNAcentral describes it as "partial 16S ribosomal RNA". The record is from RNAcentral. Lineage: Eukaryota; Metazoa; Chordata; Amphibia; Caudata; Salamandridae.